CCCAUAUUAUGCUUUUUCUGGUUUUAUAUGCUCUUUAGUUGUGUUUUCCAAGUGUCCUGUGCAUGUUUAGGAACAUCUAUGUGCAAACAUUCAAAGUCCGCGGAAACGCGGCUUCUCCUACGUCCUCCUGUUAGCUGUAGCAUUAGCUGCAUGUAACGCUCGGUUCUAGCCCCCCUUGAUAAAAUGUUGUGAGAUCACUGAUCUAAGUCCAUUGGCUCGUUGUGGCAAGCCCUGCAGCUCAUGCUGAAAUUUCCGAGACGCGUGCUGAGCAACUGACCAAUAACGACAGAGCGGAUCGGCAGACCAAUCAGAG
Molecule: long non-coding RNA, 313 nt
Organism: Labrus mixtus (cuckoo wrasse)
Lineage: Eukaryota; Metazoa; Chordata; Actinopteri; Labriformes; Labridae
Exons: 3
Source: RefSeq, a predicted model, not a curated record